UCGGGGGGAUUGGGUGCGCA
This 20-nucleotide unclassified non-coding RNA is filed under the name Chlamydomonas reinhardtii. Its description in RNAcentral is "small RNA Cre_2716". Lineage: Eukaryota; Viridiplantae; Chlorophyta; Chlorophyceae; Chlamydomonadales; Chlamydomonadaceae. The record is from RNAcentral.